GAUGAACGCUGGCGGCGUGCUUAACACAUGCAAGUCGAACGGAAAGGCCCAAGCUUGCUUGGGUACUCGAGUGGCGAACGGGUGAGUAACACGUGGGUGAUCUGCCCUGCACUUCGGGAUAAGCCUGGGAAACUGGGUCUAAUACCGGAUAGGACCACUUCUUGGAUGUUGUGGUGGAAAGUUUUUUCGGUGUGGGAUGAGCUCGCGGCCUAUCAGCUUGUUGGUGGGGUAAUGGCCUACCAAGGCGUCGACGGGUAGCCGGCCUGAGAGGGUGUACGGCCACAUUUGGACUGAGAUACGGCCCAGACUCCUACGGGAGGCAGCAGUGGGGAAUAUUGCACAAUGGGCGCAAGCCUGAUGCAGCGACGCCGCGUGGGGGAUGACGGCCUUCGGGUUGUAAACUCCUUUCGCUAGGGACGAAGCGUUUUGUGACGGUACCUGGAGAAGAAGCACCGGCUAACUACGUG
Molecule: ribosomal RNA, 467 nt
Filed under: uncultured bacterium
Lineage: Bacteria
Description: partial 16S ribosomal RNA
Rfam family: Bacterial small subunit ribosomal RNA
Source: RNAcentral